GAGGAAUAUUGGUCAAUGGACGGAAGUCUGAACCAGCCAAGUAGCGUGCAGGAUGACGGCCCUAUGGGUUGUAAACUGCUUUUGUAUGGGGAUAAAGUCAAUCACGUGUGAUUGUUUGCAGGUACCAUACGAAUAAGGACCGGCUAAUUCCGUGCCAGCAGCCGCGGUAAUACGGAAGGUUCGGGCGUUAUCCGGAUUUAUUGGGUUUAAAGGGAGCGUAGGCCGGAGAUUAAGUGUGUUGUGAAAUGUAGACGCUCAACGUCUGACUUGCAGCGCAUACUGGUUUCCUUGAGUACGCACAACGUUGGCGGAAUUCGUCGUGUAGCGGUGAAAUGCUUAGAUAUGACGAAGAACUCCGAUUGCGAAGGCAGCUGACGGGAGCGCAACUGACGCUGAAGCUCGAAGGUGCGGGUAUCGAACAGGAUUAGAUACCCUGGUAGUCCGCACAGUAAACGAUGGAUGCCCGCUGUUGGUACCUGGUAUCAGCGGCUAAGCGAAAGCAUUAAGCAUCCCACCUGGGGAGUACGCCGGCAACGGUG
This 539-nucleotide ribosomal RNA is filed under the name uncultured bacterium. RNAcentral describes it as "bacterial SSU rRNA". It matches the Rfam family "Bacterial small subunit ribosomal RNA", at positions 356 to 896 of the family's 1533-position model. The record is from RNAcentral.